RNAcentral lists this ribosomal RNA (370 nucleotides) under uncultured eukaryote. RNAcentral's name for it is "partial 18S ribosomal RNA". It matches the Rfam family "Eukaryotic small subunit ribosomal RNA", at positions 592 to 976 of the family's 1831-position model. The record is from RNAcentral.
CAAUAGCGUAUAUUAAAGUUGUUGCAGUUAAAAAGCUCGUAGUUGGACCUUGGACCUGGACAGGCGGUCCGCCUCACGGCGAGUACUGUCUUGCUGGGCCUUUCCUCUUGGUGAUCUGUUGUUUCGGCAGCAGGGAACCAGGACCUUUACUUUGAAAAAAUUAGAGUGUUCAAAGCAGGCUCGACGCCGGAAUAUAUUAGCAUGGAAUAAUAAAAUAGGACGUGCGGUUCUAUUUUGUUGGUUUUUGGAAUCGCCGUAAUGAUUAAUAGGGACAGUCGGGGGCAUUAGUACUCACAUGCUAGAGGUGAAAUUCUUGGAUUUUGUGAAGACUAACUUCUGCGAAAGCAUUUGCCAAGGAUGUUUUCAUUAA